RNAcentral lists this ribosomal RNA (711 nucleotides) under uncultured Bacilli bacterium. RNAcentral describes it as "bacterial SSU rRNA". It matches the Rfam family "Bacterial small subunit ribosomal RNA", at positions 58 to 734 of the family's 1533-position model. The record is from RNAcentral. Lineage: Bacteria; Bacillati; Bacillota; Bacilli.
CAAGUCGAACGAGUCUCGUUGAUGAUCGGUGCUUGCACCGAGAUUCAACAUGGAACGAGUGGCGGACGGGUGAGUAACACGUGGGUAACCUGCCCUUAAGUGGGGGAUAACAUUUGGAAACAGAUGCUAAUACCGCAUAGAUCCAAGAACCGCAUGGUUCUUGGCUGAAAGAUGGCGUAAGCUAUCGCUUUUGGAUGGACCCGCGGCGUAUUAGCUAGUUGGUGAGGUAAUGGCUCACCAAGGCGAUGAUACGUAGCCGAACUGAGAGGUUGAUCGGCCACAUUGGGACUGAGACACGGCCCAAACUCCUACGGGAGGCAGCAGUAGGGAAUCUUCCACAAUGGACGCAAGUCUGAUGGAGCAACGCCGCGUGAGUGAAGAAGGCUUUCGGGUCGUAAAACUCUGUUGUUGGAGAAGAAUGGUCGGCAGAGUAACUGUUGUCGGCGUGACGGUAUCCAACCAGAAAGCCACGGCUAACUACGUGCCAGCAGCCGCGGUAAUACGUAGGUGGCAAGCGUUAUCCGGAUUUAUUGGGCGUAAAGCGAGCGCAGGCGGUUUUUUAAGUCUGAUGUGAAAGCCCUCGGCUUAACCGAGGAAGCGCAUCGGAAACUGGGAAACUUGAGUGCAGAAGAGGACAGUGGAACUCCAUGUGUAGCGGUGAAAUGCGUAGAUAUGUGGAAGAACACCAGUGGCGAAGGCGGCUGUCUGGUC